Molecule: long non-coding RNA, 1117 nt
Organism: Mesocricetus auratus (golden hamster)
Lineage: Eukaryota; Metazoa; Chordata; Mammalia; Rodentia; Cricetidae
Exons: 7
Source: RefSeq, a predicted model, not a curated record
CAGUGUUGGAGACUGAACCCAGGCCUCAGCUAUCAUAGGCAAGCACUCACCACUGAGUUUUGAAGCUAUAAAGAUUUCUAAUGGCAACAUUUACAAACCCAGUCCAGCUUAUAGAAAAUCAUGGUCCUAAUUUGCUUUGGCUCAGACCUUCUUUUCUUCCAGGCCACAGAGUACAAAUUAAAGCCUGUCUUCAGCUGGAUGGCCUCAGAGAAGACCACGUGGCAUGCAUGACUUAUCGUGGGGCUGACCUUUUCUACGGCAUCUGUAUCCAGAGCAACAAGAAAAGCGUUGAUGACAAUCAGGGUGUUGCUAAGAAUCCCUGGCUGUCCUGGAACUCUCUAUGUAAGCUGAAUGGCAUUAAUUACAGGCAUUAAAGGUGUACCCCACCACACCAGGUCAGUCCCGUGUGUGGGGAUGCUGCUCUUUGGUUCUGCACCGGCCUAGCAUGUGCAAAACCCUGGGCUGAAUCUUCCCAACUGCAAUAAACAAGCAAAAACACCAGCAAAACUGUCUUUAGCCUCUGGAAAGCUCCUGAUUCAAGACAGCCGGAGUUAACUGGUCCUGAUUCAAGACAGCCGGAGUUAACUGGUCUUGGCUCUUUCUGCUACAUCUGUGGCAGUGCAGUUUCACAACAUGACUGAUUAGACCAUGGAGAGCAGAAAGGGGAAGGUCCCCAUUGGAAGUGACUUUAUGGGGGACAAAGGACUUGAUACGAACCCUGGCCAAAAUAGCCUCAUAGGAUUAGAUUGAGUAAUGCGAAGAGACCAGAAUAGACAAACUGAAGGAGCUGCAUAGCAUCUACCUGUGAUGUUCAGUAUUGGAGUAACCAGGCCUGGUCCUCAUUUUUCAACUUGGGACAGUUCCACAAGACAUCAUAGCAUAAAGAUUCCCAUGGGACAGUCUAAGACGUUAUUAUAUUUUCCUUCUGUCCAGCCCUACUUCCAUUUCAGUACAACUCCCAAGAGCUUCCCCCAGUAAACUUCCUGCAAGGGAAUUUAGUCUCUUAACCUUCUCCCUGGGCAAUAUGAGCUGAAUUUCAUCCUCUGGUCUUGAGUCCUCAAAGUUACAAAGAACAGGAUCAGCACUGACGAAGACAUGGAGAAUUCCUGGCAGUUUU